Molecule: ribosomal RNA, 406 nt
Filed under: uncultured bacterium
Lineage: Bacteria
Description: partial 16S ribosomal RNA
Rfam family: Bacterial small subunit ribosomal RNA
Source: RNAcentral
AUUGAACGCUGGCGGCAGGCCUAACACAUGCAAGUCGAACGAGUGGCGGACGGGUGAGUAAUGUCUGGGACACUGCCUGAUGGAGGGGGAUACCUACUGGAAACGGUAGCUAAUCCCGCAUACCAUCGGAUGUGCCCAGAUGGGAUUAGCUAGUAGGUGGGGUAAAGGCUCACCUAGGCCACGAUCCCUAGCUGGUCUGAGAGGAUGACCAGCCACACUGGAACUGAGACACGGUCCAGACUCCGACGGGAGGCAGCAGUAGGGAAUAUUGCACAAUGGGCGCAAGCCUGACGCAGCCAUGCCGCGUGUGUGAAGAAGGCCUUCGGGUUGUAAAGUACUGUCAGCGGGGAGGCGGUACCCUCAGAAGAAGCACCGGCUAACUACGUGCCAGCAGCCGCGGUAAUUC